ACUAUGUAAGACCUUACUCAAGAGACUCGUUUGUAAGAACUAUAGAAAAUAUGUGUACGGUCUCUUUGUCUGCUACUUCCAUGCACGUACUAGACUCACUCCCAUCUUCUUCUUCAUCUUCUCUAUUUUCUCUGCCAUUAUUAUCCCUCACCAAACCCCAUUUUCACACUGCCACCACAAAACCCAGAACCCAUUUCUCACUCUUGGUUACAUCGUCAGCUUCUUCUCCUUCUUCAGCUCCAAAAACCAAAGAUGUAUGGAGAAAAACUCCCCUCAAAUCGACGCAGUUUCACAAACACCCCAAGAAGCAAAACCCACUCUUCUUAGACCACAGCUUGGACAUGGACGAACUCGUACAAUCAAUAAGCCAAACCCAGAACGAACAAGAACUAUUCGCUUUAUUAUCCCCGUAUAAAGACAGACAACUCUCAAUUCGUUUCAUGGUCUCGUUGUUAUCUCGCGAACAAGACUACCAGAGAUCAGUCGCCAUCCUUGAUUGGAUCAAUGACGUGGCUCGUUAUUCUCCGUCCGUGUUUGCUUACAAUGUCGUUUUGAGAAAUGUCUUGAGGGCUAAAAAAUGGGAGCUUGCACAUGGCCUGUUCGACGAAAUGCGUGACAGAGGUGUGUCGCCUGAUAGGUACACGUAUUCGACACUAAUAACGUGUUUUGGGAAAGAGGGUAUGUUUGAUUCAGCGAUUUCUUGGUUGCAAUUGAUGGAACAAGACCGGGUUUCAGGUGAUCUUGUUUUGUAUAGUAACUUGAUUGAGCUUGCAAGGAAGUUGUGUGAUUAUUCGAAGGCGAUUUCGAUGUUUUCGAGGUUGAAGAAUGCAGGGAUUGUGCCUGAUCUUGUUGCGUAUAAUACGAUGAUCAAUGUGUUUGGGAAGGCGAAGUUGUUUAGAGAGGCGAGGUUGGUGAUUAAGGAGAUGAGGGAAGUGGGAGUUGUGCCGGAUACUGUUAGUUAUUCGACACUUUUGAAUGUUUAUGUUGAGAAUGAGAAAUUUGUUGAGGCACUUUCAUUGUUUGCUGAGAUGAAGGAAGUGGAUUGCCCGCUUGAUCUUACGAGUUGUAAUAUUAUGAUUGAUGUUUAUGGGCAGUUGGAUAUGGCUAAGGAAGCGGACAGGUUGUUUUGGAGCAUGAGGAAGAUGGGGAUUGAACCUAAUGUUGUUAGUUACAAUACCCUUUUGAGGGUUUAUGGUGAGGCUGAGCUUUUUGGUGAGGCUAUUCAUUUGUUUAGGUUGAUGCAAAGGAAGGAAAUUGAGCAGAAUGUUGUCACAUAUAACACAAUGAUGAAGAUUUAUGGGAAGUCUCUUGAGCAUGAAAAGGCUACUAAUCUUUUGAAAGAGAUGCAGAAUAGUGGGAUUGAACCGAAUGCCAUCACUUACUCAACAAUAAUAUCUAUAUGGGGUAAGGCAGGGAAAUUAGAUAGGGCAGCAAUCUUGUUUCAGAAGUUGAGGAGCUCUGGGAUUGAGAUUGAUCAAGUGCUUUAUCAAACAAUGAUUGUUGCUUAUGAAAGGGUAGGUUUGGUUGCUCAUGCAAAGCGUUUGCUUCAUGAGCUCAAGCAACCAGAUAACAUCCCUAGGGAGACUGCAAUAUCAAUUCUUGCUAAGGCUGGUCGGAUUGAGGAGGCUACAUGGAUUUUUAGACAGGCUUUUGAGGCUGGGGAAGUAAAGGAUAUAUCAGUAUAUGGGUCCAUGAUUGAGCUUUUCUCAAGGAACAAGAAACAUGCAAAUGUCAUUGAAGUGUUUCAAAAGAUGAGAAGUGCAGGAUAUUUCCCCAAUUCUAAUGUGAUUGCUCUUGUGCUGAAUGCUUAUGGAAAACUCCGGGAAUUUGAGAUGGCGGAUGCUCUGUAUCAAGAGAUGCAAGAAGAAGGUUGUGUUUUUUCUGAUGAAGUUCAUUUCCAGAUGCUCGGUCUGUAUGGUGCAAGAAAGGACUUUAACAUGAUGGAGUCACUCUUUGAGAAGCUGGACUCUGAUUCCAACAUCAACAAAAAGGAGUUGCAUCUUGUCGUUGCUGCCAUAUACGAACGAGCAAAUAGACUAGACGAGGCAUCACAAAUUAUGAAUAGGAUGAAAGAAAGAGGAACUUCAAAGUCAUGACCUUCAAGAAAAUCUAAUCCUCCUGUAUCCUAUAAUUUUUCCCCACAUCUACUGAAUCAAGAUAUAUUAUCAUGCAAUUAAGGAAAAAGCAAUGGCACAAGACUUUCAGUGUUGCUUCCUGAUACAAUUGCAGGAAGGCAAUUCAUUUUCUCAAGCAAAACUAUGGAGUAGUGAAUGAAAU
This is an RNA transcript of Pistacia vera, 2277 nucleotides long. It is a transcript of the gene named pentatricopeptide repeat-containing protein At5g39980, chloroplastic, with no coding region annotated. The transcript has 2 exons. Lineage: Eukaryota; Viridiplantae; Streptophyta; Magnoliopsida; Sapindales; Anacardiaceae. The record is from RefSeq and is a predicted model, not a curated record.